This 309-nucleotide ribosomal RNA is filed under the name Triticum aestivum (bread wheat). RNAcentral describes it as "partial small subunit ribosomal RNA". The record is from RNAcentral. Lineage: Eukaryota; Viridiplantae; Streptophyta; Magnoliopsida; Poales; Poaceae.
AUGUGGCCCAACACGUCUUGCACCUUAUCCUCUUCUGGAGCGUCGCGAGCCAUCCAAAUCCAUCCCUAUCUUCUCGUUCCCUUCCCGCGUCUCUCUCCCUCUCGUUCUCCUCUGGCCAUGGAAGCGCCACCCACCUGCUCCCAGCAGACUGCCGCCUCGCCGUCGCAACUACUGCAAGGGCAGCCACCGGUAGCUGCAAAGGCAACGCGUGCACUAGUGCAGAAAGCGACUGCCGACGCAGCUAGCAGGGCCUCAGGCGCCAAUUUUGCAGAUGGGUGUGCCCGUGCCCGCCUCGCCGGAGUCGCGUGA